Calidris pugnax (ruff) is the source of this 2408-nucleotide long non-coding RNA. RefSeq lists it as uncharacterized. NCBI's taxonomy places the organism in Eukaryota, Metazoa, Chordata, Aves, Charadriiformes, Scolopacidae. The record is from RefSeq and is a predicted model, not a curated record. The transcript has 11 exons.
GGCUGUUCAUUGAAGUCUUCAGGCUUUCUGGCUACUGCUGCCUGGAGAUUGGAAGAGAGAGACAUUUAGGAAGGCUGGGACCCCAAAGUUAUCAUGAAGCUUUAAUCUCACAAAUGGGAGCUUCCUGCUCAUGAAGACCAAAGAACACAGCACCAAGAUGAAAGUCCAUCUCUGUGGCUGGCUUGCUUUCACUGUUCUCAUGAUGUGCACAUCCCAUGGGACCCGGGGGACACCAAGGGAGCUGCAUAGGAACAAAGAGCUCUGCAGGCAGGUUCUGGCCAGCACCACCAGCAGCGUCGCUGUGCUUGAAUCCCAAGAAGCGAAGGUGCCAUCCUUGUUGUGUUCGUGCCACUGAUACAAGUUGAGACACCAAUCCUGAUCUGCCUCUCUGUGUUGGAUCUCUUUGUGAAAACAACUGUUGGCCUCGAUGAUCUCAAAGGUCCUUUCCAACCAUGAAGAUUCUGUGAUUCUCCCCUCCCAUCAUCCUGGGUGGAUUUUGCACACUGACCAGAGAUAUUCUUUAUUUAGCUUAGCCCAGCUCUACCCAUGAAUGUCUAUGGAUGCAUCUGCUAAAUACUGAAGGAGAGCCCGGAGGCACCAUCUCCCCGGCCGCGCAGUGACCUGGAUUAGAAACUGGGCAGGAUGAGGAGACCACUCCAGCAUGUGAAAGACGUGAAGGUUUUCAAAGAACGAGGUCAACACACACUCACUUAAGGGAAAGACAUGCUGUUUUUCCUCUCUCUGGCAAGGAGAGGUGCCAGGGUUGUGUCAUUCAAGAGCACCGCUGGAUUUGAUCAGAAGGUGGGCUCUGUCCGAUGCUACCCAGGCUCAGAGGUCUAUGGAGAACCAGCUCUCUCUUCAUCCCAUCUGCACUGGGGAGCUGUAACCCAUGGCUGCGACUCUCCAAGGAGUAGAAGAUUUUGCGUGCAGUCAAUUCCAGAUGAACCAACGGAUAGUUGCGCAAGUUUUUAUCAGUGGUCUCUCUCUGCGCUGGUACAAUAGCAUCUCCCAGGCUUUGUGACUCCUCUGAUUUUCCAAGAGCUGCCAUAAAUUGAGGUUGCACCUGGAGGAUCUGGGAUUCCCACCCUGUGACUGAGACCAUCACCAGAUCACGACCCUUUCUUGGAGAUUCCUUUCUCAGUCAGUGUCCCUGAAGCGUGUCCAGAUGACAUCUCCGGAGCCUGAAGAUCAACUAGAGAUGACCUGCAGCAUUAACACCAGAGUGACGUGCCCUUCAGUGAUCCACCACCAGCAUGAACACCGGAGGGACGCGCUUCAGGGAUCCACCCCUUUCUUUUCCAUGUGAAGAGCAGCAGCUCCCGCUAGGAGGGAGAAGACAGGGUGCAUAAACGGGAAAUGGUGAUGCUGGAAGAGGAUGCAGGGGAGCUGCGGACACCCCGAGAGCAAACAACAUGCAGCACAGCACAGGCUGCAGCCAUGCACGACCAGGAGCCUCCAGGCUCUCCUCAUCAUGACAGUAAGUGUGAAACCUGGAAGUUGGGGAGCUCUGAGAACUGCAGACACGUGUCUGGGUGUGGAAUCCCACGGGGCUGUCCCCGUGCCAGACCUGAGGGCAAACUGGGACACGCUCCUCUUUUGGUCUGUUGGGCUACUGGAUGGUAACACCUUCCACCUUCCAUGCAGGUAACACCUGCAAAAGCCACCAUGUGGAUGAACUAGAGGCUUAUUAAUAAAGCACUUAUCUUAAAAGUGAUAGUGCCUUUGAUGCCUCUGUGUCCCACACCGCCCAAUCCAGCCCUCCAUCUCAGUGGGGAUUCUUCUAUCUGAUAGAAUCAGAUCCCCCAAAGGUACACAUCGGACUUCACCAUCCUUCCACAUCACCCACCAAGUGCACCCAGAUUGUGGGCAGACAGAAGUGUUCCCUCCCUCUGUUUUUGGGGAUGAGAUGUGUCCGAGCAAAGCGUGCCAGAGCACAUCCCACAGGCAGAUGUGUCCUGGAGGGUGAGCAGGAAGGCUGGGGUGAAGGCAAUCCAGCAGAGGGAAAAGUAGCAUUGGUGAGGAUACUCUUGUUUGUGCCUGACAGACACGCUGGCCCUUUGGGGAACCGGCAGAAAUUAUGCAGCAGCAGGCUCGAUUGCAUGGAUAAUGUAGUCAUUAAAUGGGAAAAAAUUUGUAGGCCUUCUCCUCUGCCUUGGUUUAAAACCCAGCCUGAGCUCCUACCUUCUCUUCAGGGGGGGAAUUAGGAGGAGGGCACAGCUUCUCUGCUUCCCUUCGGGGGUGGUGAGCUGCAGGAAUGGAGGAGUCUCCUGAGGUCCCACAGCAUCAUGGUGUUCGACUCUCUCCUCACACGUGGCUCGUAGCUCCUGCUAAAAGCAUAGUUUGAAAGAGGUAUAUAUCCCUUUGGCUCACCGGAUGCUUCUCCCCCCCAACAUUGGUAUCCAGCAGCU